GAUGAACGCUGGCGGCGUGCCUAAUACAUGCCAGUCGAGCGAACAGAUGAGGAGCUUGCUCCUCUGACGUUAGCGGCGGACGGGUGAGUAACACGUGGAUAACCUACCUAUAAGACUGGGGUAACUUCGGGAAACCGGAGCUAAUACCGGAUAAUAUAUUGAACCGCAUGGUUCAAUAGUGAAAGACGGUUUUGCUGUCACUUAUAGAUGGAUCCGCGCCGCAUUAGCUAGUUGGUAAGGUAACGGCUUACCAAGGCAACGAUGCGUAGCCGACCUGAGAGGGUGAUCGGCCACACUGGAACUGAGACACGGUCCAGACUCCUACGGGAGGCAGCAGUAGGGAAUCUUCCGCAAUGGGCGAAAGCCUGACGGAGCAACGCCGCGUGAGUGAUGAAGGUCUUCGGAUCGUAAAACUCUGUUAUUAGGGAAGAACAAAUGUGUAAGUAACUAUGCACGUCUUGACGGUACCUAAUCAGAAAGCCACGGCUAACUACGUG
RNAcentral lists this ribosomal RNA (497 nucleotides) under uncultured bacterium. Its description in RNAcentral is "partial 16S ribosomal RNA". It matches the Rfam family "Bacterial small subunit ribosomal RNA", at positions 28 to 507 of the family's 1533-position model. The record is from RNAcentral.